ACCUAUACGUUGCCUCGGCGGAUCAGCCCGCGCCCCGUAAAACGGGACGGCCCGCCCGAGGACCCCUAAACUCUGUUUUUAGUGGAACUUCUGAGUAAAACAAACAAAUAAAUCAAAACUUUCAACAACGGAUCUCUUGGUUCUGGCAUCGAUGAAGAACGCAGCAAAAUGCGAUAAGUAAUGUGAAUUGCAGAAUUCAGUGAAUCAUCGAAUCUUUGAACGCACAUUGCGCCCGCCAGUAUUCUGGCGGGCAUGCCUGUUCGAGCGUCAUUUCAACCCUCAAGCUCAGCUUGGUGUUGGGACUCGCGGUAACCCGCGUUCCCCAAAUCGAUUGGCGGUCACGUCGAGCUUCCAUAGCGUAGUAAUCAUACACCUCGUUACUGGUAAUCGUCGCGGCCACGCCGUUAAACCCCAACUUCUGAAUGUUGACCUCGGAUCAGGUAGGAAUACCCGCUGAACUUAAGCAUAUCAAUAGGCCGGAGGA
RNAcentral lists this ribosomal RNA (484 nucleotides) under Fusarium sp. AQG24. Its description in RNAcentral is "eukaryotic LSU rRNA". The stretch from base 117 to 270 matches the Rfam family "5.8S ribosomal RNA". The record is from RNAcentral. Lineage: Eukaryota; Fungi; Ascomycota; Sordariomycetes; Hypocreales; Nectriaceae.